RNAcentral lists this ribosomal RNA (181 nucleotides) under uncultured bacterium. RNAcentral's name for it is "partial 16S ribosomal RNA". It matches the Rfam family "Bacterial small subunit ribosomal RNA", at positions 1319 to 1500 of the family's 1533-position model. The record is from RNAcentral.
CAUGAAGUCGGAAUUGCUAGUAAUCGCGGAUCAGCAUGCCGCGGUGAAUACGUUCCCGGGCCUUGUACACACCGCCCGUCACACCAUGGGAGCCGGUAAUACCCGAAGUCAGUAGUCCAACCUCGUGAGGACGUUGCCGAAGGUAGGAUUGGCGACUGGGGUGAAGUCGUAACAAGGUAAC